GCUAUCCAGGCAGCAGUUGGACGUGGCAAUGCACCUCGUCAGGGCAAAGAAGUCCAUCAUGACCUGGGUCAGGAAACAGCUAGUUCCAACGUACUUCAUUAUGAACCUGAAAAGUACCGCAAUAAGAACACCCACAGGGCAAGGGCAUUAAAUAUUGCUCCAAAAGAGAAAAUGAGGAUAUACAGAGCAAAUUCAGUGAGACGAACAUGGUGAUUCACUUCUACAUCUGCUACACUGCAGCUGUUGGACUUAUUCAUUGUCCUGAUGUGUGGAUGGCAUGUGAUGUUCUGAGACCUGAAAUGGGGAAAAAAUGGUUAAGACUUUUCUCCUACCUCUCAACAGAUUCAUGACUUCUAUAAACAAAGGGCUAGUUCUGAUGCCUCCUACUCAGGAUGGAGAAACUAACAGUCCCUUCCUCCUCACCUCCUCAUCCUCUGUGACUUCACCAACUGGUUUUGAAGUGCCCAAACUGGUCCAUGAAAAGGAUGCUGUGAGGUAAGCCAAACUAAGGAAAACAGCAAGGUAGUCAUCGUAAACACAGAACUGCUUCAAAAGACCCUGGAAGGGGAUGCAAGGGUUCAUUUAGACAGGAAAAAAAAAAAAAAAAAACAAGCAAGCAAGCAAGCAAGCAAACAAACAAACAAAAACUCUUCUGGAAUUACUUAUCUCCCAUGGUGGGAAGACUUUAGUUUCCAGCUGCCAGAUGCUGUUGGAAAGUAACACGCUGUGAUCUUCCUAAACACCUCAGAGUAAGAAGAGAGAAGUCUCAGCGACAGCAGCCUGCUGAACAGGUCUCCGCACGAGGGAAUGCAGUGGUGUGGAGAAAUGGGUCCUCCAAAGGGUGCCUCCUCCA
This is a long non-coding RNA of Oxyura jamaicensis (ruddy duck), 853 nucleotides long. RefSeq lists it as uncharacterized. NCBI's taxonomy places the organism in Eukaryota, Metazoa, Chordata, Aves, Anseriformes, Anatidae. The transcript is spliced from 3 exons. The record is from RefSeq and is a predicted model, not a curated record.